This 253-nucleotide ribosomal RNA is filed under the name uncultured bacterium. RNAcentral describes it as "partial 16S ribosomal RNA". It matches the Rfam family "Bacterial small subunit ribosomal RNA", at positions 524 to 776 of the family's 1533-position model. The record is from RNAcentral.
UACGGGGGGAGCAAGCGUUGUUCGGAUUUACUGGGCGUAAAGGGCGCGUAGGCGGCGCAACAAGUCAAUUGUGAAAUCUCCGGGCUUAACUCGGAAAGGUCAACUGAUACUGCGGGGCUAGAGUGCGGAAGGGGCAACUGGAAUUCUCGGUGUAGCGGUGAAAUGCGUAGAUAUCGAGAGGAACACCUGCGGCGAAGGCGGGUUGCUGGGCCGACACUGACGCUGAUGCGCGAAAGCCAGGGGAGCGAACGGG